Molecule: ribosomal RNA, 103 nt
Filed under: Salvator merianae (Argentine black and white tegu)
Lineage: Eukaryota; Metazoa; Chordata; Lepidosauria; Squamata; Teiidae
Source: RNAcentral
CCAUUCAGCAAAGUGCCAUUUAUUAUUCUUGAAAAGCUGAGCAAGGACCAGGUUGGUUAGUACUUGAAUGGGAGACCAUCAGAAAAUUCCAGGGCUGUAAAGU